This 393-nucleotide unclassified non-coding RNA is filed under the name Hevea brasiliensis (rubber tree). The record is from RNAcentral. Lineage: Eukaryota; Viridiplantae; Streptophyta; Magnoliopsida; Malpighiales; Euphorbiaceae.
AAGAUAUCAAGUUGAAGAACAUCAUGGUUCCAAAAGGAAUGGACAUUCAAAUACCUGUUGCAAUUUUACAUCGGAAUCCUGAUAUAUGGGGGCCUGAUGCUGACCAGUUCAAUCCUGAAAGAUUUGCAACUAGCAAGAAUGCACAGGCUUACAUGCCAUUCGGAAUUGGUGCUCGAACCUGUGCAGGCCAACACUUCGCCAAAGCUGAGCUGAAGGUGAUUUUGUCGCUCAUCCUAUCAAAGUUUGGCCUCUCUCUCUCACCAGCAUACAUUCACUCCCCAGCAUUUAGGUUGGUGGUGCAACCUGAAAAUGGAGUUAAUCUCUAUGUUAGGAGAAUUUCAUGAGCUAGCGGUUAAUGUCAUAAAGUUUAAUAAACAUAACUAGACUUUUUUU